This 253-nucleotide ribosomal RNA is filed under the name uncultured bacterium. RNAcentral describes it as "partial 16S ribosomal RNA". It matches the Rfam family "Bacterial small subunit ribosomal RNA", at positions 524 to 776 of the family's 1533-position model. The record is from RNAcentral.
UACGUAGGGUGCAAGCGUUGUCCGGAAUUAUUGGGCGUAAAGAGCUCGUAGGCGGUUUGUCGCGUCUGCUGUGAAAACCGGAGGCUCAACCUCCGGCCUGCAGUGGAUACGGGCAGACUAGAGGUAUGCAGGGGAGAACGGAAUUCCUGGUGUAGCGGUGAAAUGCGCAGAUAUCAGGAGGAACACCGGUGGCGAAGGCGGUUCUCUGGGCAUUACCUGACGCUGAGGAGCGAAAGUGUGGGGAGCGAACAGG